Molecule: ribosomal RNA, 579 nt
Filed under: uncultured bacterium
Lineage: Bacteria
Description: bacterial SSU rRNA
Rfam family: Bacterial small subunit ribosomal RNA
Source: RNAcentral
CCUACGGGAGGCAGCAGUGGGGAAUCUUGCGCAAUGGCCUAACGGCUGACGCAGCGACGCCGCGUGUGGGAUGAGGCUCUUCGGAGUGUAAACCACUGUUGCCCGGGACGAACAGCUCGAUUAAUCGAGCCUGACGGUACCGGGUGAGGAAGCACCGGCUAACUCCGUGCCAGCAGCCGCGGUAAUACGGGGGGUGCGAGCGUUGUCCGGAAUCACUGGGCGUAAAGGGCGCGUAGGUGGUUUGAUAAGGGUGUGGUGAAAGUCCGGGGCUCAACCCCGGAUCUGCCGUGCCGACUGUCAAACUCGAGGACUGUAGAGGCAGACGGAAUUCCGGGUGUAGCGGUGGAAUGCGUAGAGAUCCGGAGGAAGACCGGUGGCGAAGGCGGUCUGCUGGGCAGUUUCUGACACUGAGGCGCGACAGCGUGGGGAGCAAACAGGAUUAGAUACCCUGGUAGUCCACGCCGUAAACGAUGGGUACUAGGUGCCUGGGGGAGCGACCCUCUGGGUGCCGGCGCUAACGCAGGAAGUACCCCGCCUGGGGAGUACGACCGCAAGGUUGAAACUCAAAGGAAUUGACGG